RNAcentral lists this long non-coding RNA (759 nucleotides) under Homo sapiens (human). Its description in RNAcentral is "novel transcript". The record is from RNAcentral. Lineage: Eukaryota; Metazoa; Chordata; Mammalia; Primates; Hominidae.
GGGCAAAGUUGUUUUAGCGAUCUGGUUGCAACUAAGGUAAACGUUUAUCAUGCAAAUAUUGCUCUCUCCUUGGCGAUACCUUGUUGGUAGAAGUAGAAUUUAAAAUAUAUUAUUGCCAUUUGCCAGCUGACCUGUGACACAGCAGCAGUGUAUUACAUUUUCAAUGAGCAGUCUGUCUGGAGCUGCUAGUGGGAGAAACUGCUUCCUGGUUUCUAGGUAUCCUGUAAGAACAAAUUGCUGCCUCCUCCAGGUGGAAAGGGAUCAAAUAUAAUUAAUCUGUGUGUGCCACACAGUAGCUUGAUAGUUUAAUUGAGGAAUGUUGACAUAUUGAGAGCUCAGCAUUACUUUCUGCUAUCAGCAGUGACGGCAUAAGAGCUGUAUCCUAACUGCACUGCUGAAUUUGGGCUUCCUGUGGGGGCACGGCAAGUGCCCUCUUUGAGAGUGAGGAGGCUGAGAGUCUCACACCAACAGGAAUGAGUGCUUUGAAAUUAACUGGUGUUUGGAAAUUGAUCUGCUGACUGAGCUGGGCUCUCAAGCUCUUCUCGACAACCAUGUAAGAAGCGAUGACAAUUGUACUACUUCAUAACAGCUGCAUGGAACUCUGACACACACUUCACAGCAACCAGUCAUCUAUAUAAACCAAUUUCAGGAGCAAAAUUGCAUGGUGCCUCCACUCUGUUAUAAACACAAUGAUAUCCACUCAAAGCUGAUAAAUGCACUACAUUUCUCUGCAGCUUAAAAGAAUAAGUUCCUUGCAUC